CAUGCAAGUCGCAGGGUAACAUGAGGAAAGCUUGCUUUCCUUGAUGACGACUGGCGCACGGGUGAGUAACGCGUAUCCAACCUUCCCAUAACUACGGGAUAACCCGUUGAAAGACGGCCUAAUACCGUAUGAUAUCGUUUGCUGACAUCAAAUAACGAUUAAAGGUUUAGCGGUUAUGGAUGGGGAUGCGUCUGAUUAGCUUGUUGGCGGGGUAACGGCCCACCAAGGCGACGAUCAGUAGGGGUUCUGAGAGGAAGGUCCCCCACAUUGGAACUGAGACACGGUCCAAACUCCUACGGGAGGCAGCAGUGAGGAAUAUUGGUCAAUGGGCGAGAGCCUGAACCAGCCAAGUAGCGUGCAGGAUGACGGCCCUAUGGGUUGUAAACUGCUUUUAUGUGGGGAUAAAGUGCGUGACGUGUCAUGCAUUGCAGGUACCACAUGAAUAAGGACCGGCUAAUUCCGUGCCAGCAGCCGCGGUAAUACGGAAGGUCCGGGCGUUAUCCGGAUUUAUUGGGUUUAAAGGGAGCGUAGGCUGUCUAUUAAGCGUGUUGUGAAAUAUACCGGCUCAACCGGUGGCUUGCAGCGCGAACUGGUCGACUUGAGUAUGCAGGAAGUAGGCGGAAUUCAUGGUGUAGCGGUGAAAUGCUUAGAUAUCAUGACGAACUCCGAUUGCGCAGGCAGCUUACUGUAGCAUAACUGACGCUGAUGCUCGAAAGUGCGGGUAUCAAACAGGAUUAGAUACCCUGGUAGUCCGCACGGUAAACGAUGGAUGCUCGCUAUUCGUCCUUUUUUGGAUGAGUGGCCAAGUGAAAACAUUAAGCAUCCCACCUGGGGAGUACGCCGGCAACGGUGAAACUCAAAGGAAUUGACGGGGG
RNAcentral lists this ribosomal RNA (875 nucleotides) under uncultured bacterium. RNAcentral describes it as "bacterial SSU rRNA". It matches the Rfam family "Bacterial small subunit ribosomal RNA", at positions 54 to 919 of the family's 1533-position model. The record is from RNAcentral.